GUAUAGUAUUAUAGUAAUAUAUCUGUGCCUGGUGUUAGAAUCUGGGAAUGGAUAGUUUUUUCUGUUGAUUUUCUCUUUCCCUUUCUCUUGUUUCUCCUCCAAAUUUUCAGUGUUUCUGAUAACGAACAACAAAAUCAUUGAGAAACACUCCAAUCGCAAGUGCUCUUAGCAGCUGUUAAUUAAUUAUUCUUGGUUGGUAUCUGAUGGAUA
Molecule: non-coding RNA, 210 nt
Organism: Jatropha curcas
Lineage: Eukaryota; Viridiplantae; Streptophyta; Magnoliopsida; Malpighiales; Euphorbiaceae
Source: RefSeq, a predicted model, not a curated record